GUCUAUGGCCAUACUACCCUGAACGCACUGGAUCUCAUCUGAUCUUGGAAGCUAAGCAGGGUUGGACCUGCUUAGUACUUGAUGGGAAACCACCUGGUAAUACGGCGCUCUGGGCU
Molecule: ribosomal RNA, 116 nt
Filed under: Cervus elaphus hippelaphus
Lineage: Eukaryota; Metazoa; Chordata; Mammalia; Artiodactyla; Cervidae
Also listed under: 1 other name
Source: RNAcentral